RNAcentral lists this ribosomal RNA (468 nucleotides) under uncultured bacterium. RNAcentral's name for it is "partial 16S ribosomal RNA". It matches the Rfam family "Bacterial small subunit ribosomal RNA", at positions 28 to 507 of the family's 1533-position model. The record is from RNAcentral.
GACGAACGCUGGCGGCGUGCUUAACACAUGCAAGUCGAACGGAAAGGCCCUGCUUUUGUGGGGUGCUCGAGUGGCGAGCGGGUGAGUAACACGUGAGUAACCUGCCCUUGACUUUGGGAUAACUUCAGGAAACUGGGGCUAAUACCGGAUAGGAGCUCCUGCUGCAUGGUGGGGGUUGGAAAGUUUCGGCGGUUGGGGAUGGACUCGCGGCUUACCAGCUUGUUGGUGGGGUAGUGGCUUACCAAGGCUUUGACGGGUAGCCGGCCUGAGAGGGUGACCGGCCACAUUGGGACUGAGAUACGGCCCAGACUCCUACGGGAGGCAGCAGUGGGGAAUAUUGCACAAUGGGCGGAAGCCUGAUGCAGCAACGCCGCGUGCGGGAUGACGGCCUUCGGGUUGUAAACCGCUUUCGCCUGUGACGAAGCGUGAGUGACGGUAAUGGGUAAAGAAGCACCGGCUAACUACGUG